Molecule: transfer RNA, 60 nt
Filed under: Thalassospira sp.
Lineage: Bacteria; Pseudomonadati; Pseudomonadota; Alphaproteobacteria; Rhodospirillales; Thalassospiraceae
Description: tRNA-Ser
Rfam family: tRNA
About the family: Transfer RNA (tRNA) molecules are approximately 80 nucleotides in length. Their secondary structure includes four short double-helical elements and three loops (D, anti-codon, and T loops). Further hydrogen bonds mediate the characteristic L-shaped molecular structure. tRNAs have two regions of fundamental functional importance: the anti-codon, which is responsible for specific mRNA codon recognition, and the 3' end, to which the tRNAs corresponding amino acid is attached (by aminoacyl-tRNA synthetases). tRNAs cope with the degeneracy of the genetic code in two manners: having more than one tRNA (with a specific anti-codon) for a particular amino acid; and 'wobble' base-pairing, i.e. permitting non-standard base-pairing at the 3rd anti-codon position.
Source: RNAcentral
UGGUAGAGCAGCGGAUUUGUAAUUCGAAGGUUGGGAGUUCGAGUCUCUCUGCCGGCACCA